UUCUUUCUCUCUCUCUCUCUCUGUCUCUCUGUCUCCCUCUCUCUUUGUCUCUCUGUCUGUCUCUCUCUGUCUGUCUGUCUGUCUGUCUGUCUCUCUGUCUCUCUCUUUCUCUCUCUCUGUCUGUCUCUCUCUGUCUCUCUUUCUCUCUCUGUCUGUCUCUCUCUGUCUGUCUCUCUCUCUCUCUGACGAUAACGCUGAUGAUGAUGACGACGAGGACAGUAAUGACGAUGAAGGCUGGACUAGACAGGAAAUUGAAUCGACUUAACUUUAACGCAGCGUGUGUAACAUAAUCCACUCGUCUGAUAUUUAAGAACAGGUACAAGCUCGAUGCCAGAUGUUUGCUCUCACGUCUUUAGACUGGCGUGUACAGGCUAACGAGCGAGGGAAGCUCAUAGACACCGGUUUAGAAAUAAGACACUGGAUCCAUAAUGGCUGUAAAAGUGGAGUAGAUUAUAGUAUAUUGCUGUAAUGGCUCUUAAAUUAGCCCGGUAAUUUUUAGACUAACACAACUAGAUUAUGUGCUCGCAACAUGCUUUUCUUCAACCUUAGGAAGGUAAAUGGAGGUGUGAAGGAAAUGCGUGGAAGCAACACAGAGGCGUCGUCUAGAUUUGAACCCCGAUGACCGGAUUAUGAGGCGUUGCGUUAGAUUACACUCCACCGCACCACUCGCUCACAUUAGCCAAAAGCGCGUCUUCUUCAGUUUCUCUCAGACACGGAUGAAGACAGCUAGCUUAGCGUAGCUGAGGUCUUGUUUCCGUUGAAGGUUUAAAGUUGUUUAUCUUGUCGUGUAAUGGAUUAGAUUGAGUGUGUGGCGUGUGAAACACCUGCACACGUGCAUCCGUGUGAGCAGGCAGGAGGUAAAUGAUACGCUAGCUGCUCAGUUAAACGCUAGUUAGCGAGGAUGAGAGAAAGAGGGUUUUUUUCUGUCUCGCUCUCUGUCUCACUCUUUCUGCCUCACUCUACUGCACUCUUUUGGUCUCACUCUCUGCCGCUCUCUUUUUUUUGUGCCUCACGCUGUACCUCACUCUCUCACAUUCUUUGUCUCACUCUUUUUCUACCUCACACUUCGUCUCACUCCCUGUCUCACUCUUUGCAUCUGUCUCUAUAUAUAUACCUGUCUCACUCUUUGCCUCACUCUAUCUUGCUCCUUUUCUGCCUCAUACUUAGUCUCAUUCUUUGCCUGUCUCACUCCCUAUCUCACUCUUUGCAUCUCUCUCUCUAUCCGUCUCACUCUCUAUGUGCUUUGUCUGUCUCACUCUCUGUCUCUCUGUCUCUGUCUAUUAUCCAGCUCACUGUUUUUCUGUCUCGCCCUCUAUACGCUCUUUGUCUACCUCACUAUAUGUUUCACUUUUUUCUCUCUCAGUCUUUGUCUCACUCUCUCUGUCUUACUAUCCGUCUCACUCUCUAUAUGCUCUUUUGUCUGUCUCACUCUCUGUCUCAUUCUUUGUCUGUCUCACUCUUUGCCUUACUCUCUUUCUAUGUCUCACUAUCCAGCUCAUUCUUUUUCUGUCUCACUCUCUGGAUGCUCUUUGUCUGUCUCACUCUCUGUCUCAUUCUUUGUCUGUCUCACUCUCUGUCUCAUUCUUUGUCUGUCUCACAUUCUGUCUCAUUCUUUGUCUGUCUCACUCUUUGCCUUACUCUCUUUCUAUGUCUCACUAUCCAGCUCACGCUUUUUCUGUCUCACUCUCUAGAUGCUCUUUGUCUACCUCACUAUAUCGAACCCUCCGUCUCUCUCUCUCUCUCUCUCUCUCUCUCUCUCUCUCUCUCUCUGAAGCCUGCCCCGUGACGAAAGCGGCGGUCACAUGACACUUUUAACGUCUCUUUACAGACAAUAAUCCAAAGAUGCAUCGUAAAAGAACGCAUGUGAGAUAAGAUUUAGAUUGAGAUAUAUAUGAGCUGGUUGAAAAGUGGAAUCUAUCUCUCCGAAAUAUUUGAAUUAAUCAACGCUAGCGUCCACCCUGAGGAGACGGGAAACUCCUCAGCUUCGUUUUUAGUUAACGUGAGGUCGCAGCGAGCUUACUACAUUAAACUGGUCUUAAUUAACUUCCGGUUAAUCAGCCGUGUAAGAGCGAAUCUGUUAAGCGGCUGAAACAUAUUACUCCGGCAGCAAUGAAGAGACGACGGUCCUGUCCCUCUACGAGAGAUGUGCUGGGACGGUGCACCGCGCAGCAGGAAGCGCGCAGCACAUCUCAGUUCUCGCAAAGAUGCGUGAAGGUCGUUCUUCCAAGGUAGCCGGGCAAGACCGGUUCUUCACAGACUUCACGAGAACGCAAGUCCGAUCUUCACGGUCUUAGACCUGAGAAACACGAUGAAUACAGAGCAGAUUCAUGAAAUACGUCCGUGUCGAUCAGUGAAACCGGUCCAUAUGUGACUCUCUGUGUGCUCUUCGUCUACCUCACUGUACCUGUUUCACUUUUUCCUGUCUCACUCUGACUGUCUC
Molecule: long non-coding RNA, 2440 nt
Organism: Ictalurus punctatus (channel catfish)
Lineage: Eukaryota; Metazoa; Chordata; Actinopteri; Siluriformes; Ictaluridae
Source: Ensembl